This 253-nucleotide ribosomal RNA is filed under the name uncultured bacterium. RNAcentral describes it as "partial 16S ribosomal RNA". It matches the Rfam family "Bacterial small subunit ribosomal RNA", at positions 524 to 776 of the family's 1533-position model. The record is from RNAcentral.
UACGAAUGGGGCAAGCGUUGUUCGGAAUCACUGGGCGUAAAGCGUGCGUAGGCGGUUUAACAAGUCAGAAGUGAAAGCCCAGGGCUCAACCCUGGAACCGCUUUUGAAACUGUUAGACUAGUGUCCCGGAGAGGUUGGCGGAAUUCCCAGUGUAGAGGUGAAAUUCGCAGAUAUUGGGAGGAACACCAGUGGCGCAAGCGGCCAACUGGACGGGUACAGACGCUGAGGCACGAAAGCGUGGGGAUCAAACAGG